GGCACUUGGUCAUGUGACACAGUUCCCACCAAUGAGACGGGAGCAGGCAUUCCGCAGGGCGUUCUGGGAAAGCUCCCAGAAGGGCGGGCGGCUGGCCUCAUGUGGCUCACCCUCUGUCCAUCCUGAAAGGGAACCUGACGCCAGAGGAGCUGCACUGUGACCGCAGAGCAGGCCUCACCGAGGACGCCGAGGGAGGUGGAGGAGGAGGCUGGGCCCACGGGCAUCUUGGAGCUGCUGGGCCUGCACCGGCCCCGCCAGACACCUCAUUGGGUAUAUUCCAGACAAGAAGGUCAACUCCAAGAAAGGAGAUCCAUUAACCAGUGCUAAGCUGCCAGUCGUUAGAGGAGGGAGCUCUAGACGGAGACGAGAAGAGGAUGAAAACUCCCAGUGGGCUGCUCGAUCAAGAACCAGGAGUAAUGGGACAGGAGGAGCUGGGCCAGCGGCGUGCUGGGGCCGGUUCAGACCAGCUCACAGAGCGGAUGGUUAUAUUUUAAGGAAUUGUGUCAGCCAGUUGUUAAACACGGCCACAAUUAAAAAUUAAAUUAUAUAAUCUUACGGCUAAAUAAGUUACGUUAAAAACACGGGCAAUAAACACUCAAAGCGCCUCAAUUUUUAAUUACUUUAUAAUAUUUUACUAUUGUGCAUGCUUUUGAGAUUAUUUACUCGUAUCGUGUCAGUAUGAUGGAAAUCCUAUAUAAUGGAGUGUUAAUCUGCAUCUCUUCCAAACUUUGUGUUUAAUGACAUGCCAUUGGUAGUUUGAAAUUGACCACGGUGGGAGGAUUUACACCACGGAGAUUGGCAAAGACCAUAAAGUGGGGUCAGUUCCGGAGACAGGAAUCAUAAAAGUAAUUUGAACAGGGAAAAUUUACUAUAAAGAAUUACUAACUAGUAAAAGAUGCUUAACUACUAAAAGAAGUAGAGUAGAAGUUAAAGAAAAGACAAAUACGAAAUGAAGGCGUAGCUGCUUCCGCCUUGAAAGCUGAGGAAGCGUGCGUGAGGAAGCAGCUAUUUUGGAAGAGGGCCCCUGUCCAAGGCCAAGAUUCAGGCAUUGUUGGACAUGGUAUGCCUGGGGUCAGGUGGGUAAAGGAGAAGUUCGCUGAGGCACCAUGGGCUGACAAUGGCCCACAAUCUGUGCGCCAAAGCUAGUAAGCAAGAAGCUCCCCUCUGGGUGAUCACAAACUCACCAUAAGGGGAGAGGCACUGGGCCACUUUGAUGCCACCGGAAGUCAUGCCAUAGAAGCAAGAAGAAAAGAAAAAC
Molecule: long non-coding RNA, 1258 nt
Filed under: Equus caballus (horse)
Lineage: Eukaryota; Metazoa; Chordata; Mammalia; Perissodactyla; Equidae
Description: lncRNA (ENSECAG00000046921.1)
Source: RNAcentral